Molecule: unclassified non-coding RNA, 2951 nt
Filed under: Agrilus planipennis (emerald ash borer)
Lineage: Eukaryota; Metazoa; Arthropoda; Insecta; Coleoptera; Buprestidae
Description: sET domain-containing protein SmydA-8-like, transcript variant X4
Source: RNAcentral
UAAACUCAAAGAAAGCCGUAACUUACAUAACUAAUUCGCGUUGACGCUUACUGUGAGUGAAUUUUCAAAACACACGAGUUAAUCAGGUGAAGUUUGAAAAACAUUGAAAAAAACAAAAACGUUACCGAUAAUGGUUACAUCAUUUUGUGAAAUAACACAGGACGAAAAACAAGGAAGGUAUUUAAAGACAACUCAGAAUGUUCCAGAAGGAAGUUUGAUUUUAAAAGAAGAACCGUUAGUUAUCGGUCCUGAAGGGGUCGGUGUUGUUUUCUGUUUUUGUUGCAAUAAAAUUUUGAAUGGUGUAAAAAUUCCAGUAUGUCCGAAAUGUAAAACCGCUAGCGUUUGUAAUGAAAAUUGUGAAGGGAUUUGGCAUAGCGAUAACGAAUGUGAUUUUUUCUCUAAAUGUUCCGUCCAAUGUGGGCAUUUCCUAGUUAACAGUCAAAUCAUUUUACCUUUGCGCUGUUUGGUCUUCAGAAAUUCAAACAAUCAAAAAUGGGACGAACUUUUGAAGCUUGAAUCCCAUUUAGAAAAAAGAAGAAAAUGCCCAGUCUGGAAAGAUAUCGCUAUUAAUAUUGAAGCGUUGUUUCUAAAUUUGGGAAUCAUAUCAAAAGUAGAUGUUGAAAAUGAACUGAUUCAAAAGAUAUGUGGAAUAUUGGAUAUCAACUCGUUCGAACUCCGAACUAAUGCAUUUAUAGAUAAUUACAGUUCAGGUCCAGUACAUGUUUUGCGAGGGCUGUACCUGAAAGCAGCAUUGAUUAAUCACGAUUGCGUUGGAAAUACACAUCUGGCUAUUGAUGAUAAUUAUAAUCUGAUUAUCCAUGCAAGUAUAGAUAUUCCUGUUGGAGCAAGCGUUUAUUUCAACUAUUCCAAUCCUCUUAAGGGGAACAACGAACGUCGCCUGAUACUACGCCAAAGCAAAUACUUCGAUUGUCUUUGCAACAGAUGCCUAGACCCGUCCGAACUAAAAACCGAAAUUAGUUCUUUGAGAUGUCCACGAUGUAAACAUGGCUUUGUUCGACCCGUUAAUGUUGAUGGAUCGUAUAAUAUGUGGUCGUGUAACACUUGUCAGAGAGAUUUCAGUCAUUCCUUGGUACAGAGCACUAUAAUUGAAGCAAGAGCCUUGUUAAAUUCACUUAAUAUCUCGGACAUAGCUGAGCACGAAGAACUUCUACAUAAAUUAUUAAAAACGUUUAGUCCAAAUCAUUUUCUACUACUAGAAAUAAAACAGAACUUGAUAGGUUUGUAUACUCAAUCUGAGCCGAAAGUAAACAAAUUACGACGCAAAAUCGAACUUUGUGAAGAACUACUGCCACUAUUUAGAGUAGUUGAACCAGGACUAUCGCGAAUGCAAGGAAUCACUCUUUACGAAUUACAAAGUGCUCGAGUAUUGUUAGCUGAAAAGCGAGUUAAAAACAAGGAAAUUGACGAAAAAGCUUUUAUCGAGGUUCUUAAAGAUGCGGACUCGUUGCUGAAGCAGUCAAUUAAACACUUAUUGUACGAACCAAAAUGCAGUCCCGAAGGCAGGCUUUGUUUGGAGUGUCUUGGAGAACUUAAACGAAUUAGAAGCUUAAUGACCGAAUUAGAACUGUCACCGUGUUGUAAUGAAGUGAAAAGUCAUCGGAAAAAGGAUAAAACUAGUUGUCUCUCCGAGCUUUAGUUGAAACUAACACUAGAGAAAGUAAUUUGGGAUUGAAAAUAAGAUAUGGUUUAUGCCCCUUUAUACUAAUAGCAGUUUGUAGUAAAUACAGGGUUAUAACGUUGUCAGAUGCAAGAUUGGUUUGAUGUUUCUGAGGUAAUAUUAUUUGGAAAUGACCAUGAAACGACAAUACAAACGAAACUAUUCGGAUAAAUCUCCGUUAAAAGUUGAAAGACAACAGAGCCUGCUUUAUGAUUCCUUACUUUCGAAGCAGGGACCAUUGGAACGUUGAAAGGUUGAGAAUAAAACAAUAAAAGAUUAUGUAGUUUACAAAAAGACGUUUGGUAAAUGCAGGUGAAGUGUUUUAUUAAAAUUAUCAAGGUAAUUAACACAAGCAAUAUGAUUAGUAAAUACAUGCUACAAAUGUGAUAUACCUAAUGAUAUAAAUAUUGUAAAUUGUUCUUAUUAACAUUCUUGAAGUGAAACUUCUUUGUCGACGUAAGAAGGAAAUUUAAUAGAAUAUAAAACCGAAAAGUGUAACGUCACGCGUAACGCGUUACGUGUGACCCUUGGUGGAUAUGUCCAAAAGGAGUCAUUUUAACAGGCUUCAGAUGUCAACCUGUUAGUAGCAAUGGAUAAUCCGAAAAUUUCGAAAUCAUUUCGAUAAAUUGUCAGCAGAUCGCGCUUGCGCUGUACUGCAUACAUACAUCUAUAUUGCAUAUGCGUUUGUAUUUGUUUGUUCUGAUUUGCAGUUUCUCAUUGCAGUUUCCUAUGGUACAAGAGUAAAUGUUUUUAAUAAAACUAAACCAGUAAAAAAUUAAAUUGAUUUUUUUAGGUAUUUAGUAAUUAGUUGACGCAAUAGUUUAAUUAAAAAAUACUAAGUACUAUAAUAUGCAGUCUAAUGAAGUUUCACUUUUUACGCGUGUAUACUAAUACACGCUCGCCCCAUUUUUUUACUUUCCAGUUGUGGUCCUCAUAACAGCAACAAACGAAUAUGCUGUUUUAACAAUCUAAAAAGAUAAAAGAAGGAGAAGACUGAGUUUUUAACAGAAGGUGGAAAAAAUUUCAACAAUAUCGUCACUAUCUUAGAUCUACUAUUGAUGAACUAAGCAAAACGUUUGUAUUGUCACAUGCGUAUACGCCACCCAACAUACAUGGUAACCAGGUUUCUAGACGGCAUAUAUCGGAUCUUUUUAGAACUUGUCCAGCUCCUAUAAAUAGCGGUCGCGAGAUUGAGUAUAGUUAGUACGAGAACGAGUUCGAGGUGAUACAAGGCGAAGAAGUGACAAAGUGUUCAUAUAGUGGUGAAUCAAUA